RNAcentral lists this ribosomal RNA (497 nucleotides) under uncultured bacterium. RNAcentral describes it as "partial 16S ribosomal RNA". It matches the Rfam family "Bacterial small subunit ribosomal RNA", at positions 28 to 507 of the family's 1533-position model. The record is from RNAcentral.
GAUGAACGCUGGCGGCGUGCCUAAUACAUGCAAGUCGAGCGAACAGACGAGGAGCUUGCUCCUCUGACGUUAGCGGCGGACGGGUGAGUAACACGUGGAUAACCUACCUAUAAGACUGGGAUAACUUCGGGAAACCGGAGCUAAUACCGGAUAAUAUAUUGAACCGCAUGGUUCAAUAGUGAAAGACGGUUUUGCUGUCACUUAUAGAUGGAUCCGCGCCGCAUUAGCUAGUUGGUAAGGUAACGGCUUACCAAGGCAACGAUGCGUAGCCGACCUGAGAGGGUGAUCGGCCGCACUGGAACUGAGACACGGUCAAGACUACUACGGGAGGCAGCAGUAGGGAAUCUUCCGCAAUGGGCGAAAGCCUGACGGAGCAACGCCGCGUGAGUGAUGAAGGUCUUCGGAUCGUAAAACUCUGUUAUUAGGGAAGAACAAAUGUGUAAGUAACUAUGCACGUCUUGACGGUACCUAAUCAGAAAGCCACGGCUAACUACGUG